Molecule: ribosomal RNA, 194 nt
Filed under: uncultured bacterium
Lineage: Bacteria
Description: partial 16S ribosomal RNA
Rfam family: Bacterial small subunit ribosomal RNA
Source: RNAcentral
CCUACGGGAGGCAGCAGUGGGGAAUUUUGGACAAUGGGCGCAAGCCUGAUCCAGCCAUUCCGCGUGCAGGAUGAAGGCCUUCGGGUUGUAAACUGCUUUUGUACGGAACGAAACGGUUCUCUCUAAUACAGGGGGCUAAUGACGGUACCGUAAGAAUAAGCACCGGCUAACUACGUGCCAGCAGCCGCGGUAAU